Molecule: ribosomal RNA, 529 nt
Filed under: unidentified oral bacterium AP60-40
Lineage: Bacteria
Description: bacterial SSU rRNA
Rfam family: Bacterial small subunit ribosomal RNA
Source: RNAcentral
AGAGUUUGAUCCUGGCUCAGGACGAACGCUGGCGGCGUGCCUAAUACAUGCAAGUAGAACGCUGAAGGAGGAGCUUGCUUCUCUGGAUGAGUUGCGAACGGGUGAGUAACGCGUAGGUAACCUGCCUGGUAGCGGGGGAUAACUAUUGGAAACGAUAGCUAAUACCGCAUAAUAUUGAUUAUUGCAUGAUAGUCAAUUAAAAGGUGCAAUUGCAUCACUACCAGAUGGACCUGCGUUGUAUUAGCUAGUUGGUGGGGUAACGGCUCACCAAGGCGACGAUACAUAGCCGACCUGAGAGGGUGAUCGGCCACACUGGGACUGAGACACGGCCCAGACUCCUACGGGAGGCAGCAGUAGGGAAUCUUCGGCAAUGGACGGAAGUCUGACCGAGCAACGCCGCGUGAGUGAAGAAGGUUUUCGGAUCGUAAAGCUCUGUUGUAAGAGAAGAACGAGUGUGAGAGUGGAAAGUUCACACUGUGACGGUAUCUUACCAGAAAGGGACGGCUAACUACGUGCCAGCAGCCGCGGU